UACGUAGGGGGCAAGCGUUGUCCGGAUUUAUUGGGCGUAAAGAGCGUGUAGGCGGCCGCACAGGUCUGUUGUGAAAACUGGAGGCUUAACCUUCAGACGUCGAUGGAAACCGUGCGGCUAGAGUCCGGAAGAGGAGAAUGGAAUUCCUGGUGUAGCGGUGAAAUGCGCAGAUAUCAGGAGGAACACCGGUGGCGAAGGCGGUUCUCUGGGCAUGACCUGACGCUGAGGAGCGAAAGUGUGGGGAGCGAACAGG
RNAcentral lists this ribosomal RNA (253 nucleotides) under uncultured bacterium. RNAcentral describes it as "partial 16S ribosomal RNA". It matches the Rfam family "Bacterial small subunit ribosomal RNA", at positions 524 to 776 of the family's 1533-position model. The record is from RNAcentral.